Molecule: non-coding RNA, 24 nt
Filed under: Arabidopsis thaliana (thale cress)
Lineage: Eukaryota; Viridiplantae; Streptophyta; Magnoliopsida; Brassicales; Brassicaceae
Source: RNAcentral
AGGUGUGGAACCUUCAGACUGAUC